GACGAACGCUGGCGGCGUGCUUAACACAUGCAAGUCGAACGGAAAGGCCCUGCUUUUGUGGGGUUCUCGAGUGGCGAACGGGUGAGUAACACGAGAGUAACCUGCCCUUGACUUUGGGAUAACUUCAGGAAACUGCGGCUAAUACCGGAUAGGAGCUCCUGCUGCAUGGUGGUGGUUGGAAAGUUUCGGCGGUUGGGGAUGGACUCGCGGCUUAUCAGCUUGUUGGUGGGGUAGUGGCUUACCAAGGCUUCGACGGGUAGCCGGCCUGGGAGGGUGACCGGCCACAUUGGGACUGAGAUAGGGACCAGACUGCUACGGGAGGCAGCGGUGGGGAGUAUUGCACAAUGGGCGGAAGCAUGAUGCAGCAGCGCCGCGUGCGGGAUGACGGCCUUCGGGUUGUAAACCGCUUUCGACUGUGACGAAGCGUGAGUGACGGUAAUGGGUAAAGAAGCACCGGCUAACUACGUG
This 468-nucleotide ribosomal RNA is filed under the name uncultured bacterium. RNAcentral describes it as "partial 16S ribosomal RNA". It matches the Rfam family "Bacterial small subunit ribosomal RNA", at positions 28 to 507 of the family's 1533-position model. The record is from RNAcentral.